Lepisosteus oculatus (spotted gar) is the source of this 2038-nucleotide non-coding RNA. The record is from RefSeq and is a predicted model, not a curated record. Lineage: Eukaryota; Metazoa; Chordata; Actinopteri; Semionotiformes; Lepisosteidae.
AUUAUUAUUCUAUUUUCGGGCAGAGGCUGCUGGUGUGAGUGUCUUUCGGGCCAGCAGGGGGCGACAGUGUACAGCCGGUCGUGUUCGGGGCUCCAUCGGUGACUAUUCACCUUUAACACGUUUAGCCUUUAAGGCUCAAGAGAUUUAUUUUACAAUGGCAACGGUAAACUGCAUCAUAAAAGCGCAAUCCAGCUGUCCUUGGAGGAGCAAACCUCAACUCAUUCGGACCGGGCUGGGCGCCCAAGGCGACACGGGAACCCCUCCCGACAGCCUGGGGACCCCCGACAGGAGCGGCCCCAUAGUCGGCGACUCACCGAGAGCGGGACCGGCGAGCUGCUGGAUACCGACCUUACCCCCUGCCUCCCUGCUUGAGUUCUGUGUGCGGAAGGAUUGCCCAUUGCCACCCACGUCCGAGAUGCAUAUGAAUAGCUUAUUGAAUCACUGGACUGAGAUCUCCAGGAUGUGCGAGGCAGAGGUCAUCUCCUCAGAGCCCACUAGCCCCACCCAGCUGUGCGGCGAGUCCUCGGACUCCUAUUACCACGUGGACCGCUGGCAGAAGCUGCGCACAGCCGUCAGGAAACUGGAGUUCUGGGAGAACUUCGCCGCUGAGCUCAUAGGGAGUGGCUUCUUCUCCAAAGUCUACAAGGUCACCCACGCCACCACGCGGAAAGUCAUGGUCGUGAAGAUCUACAAGAACGACGUGGACCAGGACAGCAUCGUGCGAGAGAUCAGCCUGCUGCAGAAGCUCUCCCACCCCAACAUUGUCAGAUAUCUGGGGAUCUGUGUUAAAGAAGAUAAGCUGUAUCCAAUCCUGGAGUAUAUGAGUGGGGGCUGCCUGGAAGAGCUGCUGGCCAGGAAGGACGUCUUUCUCUCCUGGAGGGAGAAGGUGGACCUGGCCUCGGACAUCACCCGAGGAAUGAUCUACCUCCACUACAAGAACAUCUACCACAGAGAUCUCAACUCCAAGAACUGCCUGAUCAGGGUGACGCCGCGCGGGAGGGAGGCGCUGGUGACCGACUUCGGCUUGGCCAGGGAGGUGGUGGAGCUGCCGGCCAAGGACCCCGAGCGGAAACUGUCCCUGGUGGGCUCUGCCUUCUGGAUGGCACCGGAAAUGCUGCGAGGGGAACCAUAUGACCGCAAGGUGGAUGUUUUCUCCUUUGGGAUUGUACUGUGUGAGAUUCUUGGCCGGAUACCUGCAGAUCCUGAGGUUCUUCCCAGAACACGGGAUUACGGGCUGGAUGUGGCUGCGUUCCGGGAGAUGGUGAGCGGGUGUCCACAGAGAGUGCUGGAGCUGGCAGCCAACUGCUGUCAGAUGGAGGCAUUUCGGCGGCCAUCGUUCACAGAGCUGCUGGAAGAGCUGGAAGAGGUCUCCGAGACGCUGGAGCCCCCAAAGGCCGAGCUGGCGACGGGGUGAGGGCCCCAGCACAAGCCCCAGGAUGGGCCAGUCUGGACUGGACCACUGCUGCUCUCCGUGUGCGUGUCCAGCCCGGUCUCGAGCCCAAGAGGACUCUCCACAUUCCGCUGACACUGCUGUGUGUUUCCUGGGAAGAAUGUCUGUCUCUGUUCCAGACGGCUGAUAAAUGUGAGAGAUGAGAUCAUUUCGAACCCGCGUGCCAGGAGGUCCAGGAGCACAUUUCUUGCUUUCUUCACUCUUCUUGCACCUCUGCAGAAACUUCCCCAAAACCGAUUUCACAAGGAUAAUGAAUUGGUCAAGAUGUGAAAAGCAGGGCUCUUGUGAUCAAAGGUUGUUUUGACUGCCUGUCUCUUUCCAUUCCACAUUCAUUACGAAGCCUUUGUGUCAGCCUCCAACCACAAAGCCCAUUGACAGACCAGCCUUUGAAUUGGACACUGGCUGUUGCUUCAGGAAAUCUGAAUCAAAAAGGAGGAACACCAGACACACUGAUGGAAAUGGAGUUCCUCUGCAUUGAUGAACAGCCUGAGACUAUUUAUGUCAGAUGUUGAUGCUUCAAAGAGACCUUGAAAAUCUUCAGGUCCAGGACCUCCAACUUCAGACUUUUACAAUGAAAAGGACCCCCCC